Molecule: small nuclear RNA, 178 nt
Filed under: Erpetoichthys calabaricus (reedfish)
Lineage: Eukaryota; Metazoa; Chordata; Cladistia; Polypteriformes; Polypteridae
Description: U1 spliceosomal RNA (ENSECRG00000012161.1)
Rfam family: U1 spliceosomal RNA
About the family: U1 is a small nuclear RNA (snRNA) component of the spliceosome (involved in pre-mRNA splicing). Its 5' end forms complementary base pairs with the 5' splice junction, thus defining the 5' donor site of an intron.
Source: Rfam by way of RNAcentral
UUAUUUACCUGGCAGGGGAGAUACCAUGAUCACUAAGGGGGUUCCAUGAUCACUAAGGGGGUUCUCCCAAGGCGAGGCUCAUCCAUUGCACUCCAGGUGUGCAACGCCUGCAAUUUCAUGCGGGAAACUCAAAUGCAUAAUUUGUGGUAGUGGUGGACUGCGUUCGCACUCUCCCCUG